CCUACGGGAGGCAGCAGUGAGGAAUAUUUGUCAAUGGACGAGAGUCUGAACCAGCCAAGUAGCUUGAAGGAUGACUGCCCUAUGGGUUGUACACUUCUUUUAUAAAGGAAUAAACCGAGGCACGUGUGCCUUUUUGCAUUUACUGUAUGAAUCAGGAUCGGCUAACUCCGUGCCAGCAGCCGCGGUAAUACGGAGGAUGCGAGCGUUAUCCGGAUUUAUUGGGUUUACAGGGUGCGUAGGCGGAGUUUUAAGACAGCGGUAAACUGUCCGGGCGCAACCCGGGACAGCCGGUGAAAUUGGGGAUCUUGAGUGGGCGAGAAGUAUGCGGAAUGCGUGGUGUAGCGGUGAAAUGCAUAGAUAUCACGCAGAACUCCGAUUGCGAAGGCAGCAUACCGGCGCCCGACUGACGCUGAGGCACGAAAGCGUGGGGAUCGAACAGGAUUAGAUACCCGAGUAGUU
Molecule: ribosomal RNA, 459 nt
Filed under: uncultured bacterium
Lineage: Bacteria
Description: partial 16S ribosomal RNA
Rfam family: Bacterial small subunit ribosomal RNA
Source: RNAcentral